AUGAACGCUGGCGGCGUGCUUAACACAUGCAAGUCGAGCGAAGCACUUACCAUUGACUCUUCGGAAGAUUUGGUAAAUGACUGAGCGGCGGACGGGUGAGUAACGCGUGGGUAACCUGCCUCAUACAGGGGAAUAACAGUUAGAAAUGGCUGCUAAUGCCGCAUAAGCGCACAGUACCGCAUGGUACGGUGUGAAAAACUGAGGUGGUAUGAGAUGGACCCGCGUCUGAUUAGGUAGUUGGUGGGGUAACGGCCUACCAAGCCGACGAUCAGUAGCCGGCCUGAGAGGGUGAACGGCCACAUUGGGACUGAGACACGGCCCAGACUCCUACGGGAGGCAGCAGUGGGGAAUAUUGCACAAUGGGGGAAACCCUGAUGCAGCGACGCCGCGUGAAGGAAGAAGUAUCUCGGUAUGUA
RNAcentral lists this ribosomal RNA (416 nucleotides) under uncultured bacterium. RNAcentral describes it as "bacterial SSU rRNA". It matches the Rfam family "Bacterial small subunit ribosomal RNA", at positions 29 to 427 of the family's 1533-position model. The record is from RNAcentral.